AUGUGGGGGCGCGUCAGCGCACCCACUGGGUGUAGUCCCCGAGAUUCGGGCCGACUGCUGAGCAGUCGGGUCGGAUCUUCCUUGACGACUUCUUCUUACUGUUCUUUCUUUUUCUGCCGUCCCUGCAGUAGCCAACGCCAGUCUGAGGGCACAGCUGGGAGAGUCUCAGACUGCCCUUCGUGCCAAGGAUGCCGAGCUCGCCGCCUUGGUGCAGGAGCGCGACCGCCUGGUCAAGAAGCUGGUCGACCAGGAGGAAAGCCACAAGGCGGCCCUGAAGGUGGUGCAGGACCGCGAAGCCGCCCUCCAGGCCGAGUAUGA
This 318-nucleotide ribosomal RNA is filed under the name Triticum aestivum (bread wheat). Its description in RNAcentral is "partial small subunit ribosomal RNA". The record is from RNAcentral. Lineage: Eukaryota; Viridiplantae; Streptophyta; Magnoliopsida; Poales; Poaceae.